UACGUAGGGUGCGAGCGUUGUCCGGAAUUAUUGGGCGUAAAGAGCUUGUAGGUGGCUCGUUGCGUCGGGAGUGAAAACCUGCGGCUUAACCGCAGGCCUGCUUCCGAUACGGGCGAGCUAGAGUUCGGGCAGGGGAGACUGGAAUUCCUGGUGUAGCGGUGGAAUGCGCAGAUAUCAGGAGGAACACCGGUGGCGAAGGCGGGUCUCUGGGCCGAUACUGACACUGAGAAGCGAAAGCGUGGGGAGCGAACAGGAU
Molecule: ribosomal RNA, 256 nt
Filed under: uncultured bacterium
Lineage: Bacteria
Description: partial 16S ribosomal RNA
Rfam family: Bacterial small subunit ribosomal RNA
Source: RNAcentral